CGGCUCCGGGGAUGCUGCGGCAGCGGAGCCCCAGCCCGGCAGCCCGAGCCCGCCGCGGUGCGCGGACACUGCGCUGCCCCGCCCGCCUCUCCUCCGGAGGAGGAAUUCGGAUCCUCGGGGAGACGGGAGGGGAGGAAAAGCCUUUCAGCAUCGCGCGGUGCCAGACAGACCCUGGAUGGGAUGAGCUCCAGCUGGUGACAUCCAGUGCAGGGAAUGAUGUCAUCUGCCUCAUCCCAUUGGCAGAAGGUUGCCACCACCUUGAAGGAAGAAUGGAUUGGGAGAGCAGCUGGCUCCUGCAAGAGGCCCUGUGAGACCCGGCUGCAGUGCCCAGACUGUUUCCCUGUAGGUCGUGCAGACACUGGAAAUGGCUCUGAGGUCUCCAGGCUGAGCAGCCCCAGUUCCUCCUGCCUGUCUCCACGGGGGAGGUGCUCCAGUUCCCUAUGGCAGCCAUAAACACAGACUUGCAGAGGUCUCUGGCUUUCUAAGAAUGAGGAUCACAGGGUGGAAGCUGGCAAAGUCCGGAGCCUCUGGAGCGGGAUGUGCAGGCAGAGCCUUGCAGAAGGAAUGCCAAAGGGUGUGCGAGCAAACAGACAAAUUGCUGGUGGCAGAACUUCUUGGAAAUAAACCUGGCAAAUUAGAACUGUUAAAGCAACUGCUGAAAUGGCUGCUGCCAUUGAAUUGUCAAAA
Molecule: long non-coding RNA, 687 nt
Organism: Prinia subflava (tawny-flanked prinia)
Lineage: Eukaryota; Metazoa; Chordata; Aves; Passeriformes; Cisticolidae
Exons: 4
Source: RefSeq, a predicted model, not a curated record